UUUUAAAUAAUCCCAUUUUUCUUGGACUCCAUUUAAAUUGCUCCAGUCUGAUAAUGACGCCUCUACCCAUAUUCUAAUUGGGUAGAGGCGUCAUUAUCAGACUGGAGCAAUUUAAAUGGAGUCCAAGAAAAAUGGGAUUAUUUAAAAG
Molecule: non-coding RNA, 148 nt
Organism: Pelobates cultripes (western spadefoot toad)
Lineage: Eukaryota; Metazoa; Chordata; Amphibia; Anura; Pelobatidae
Source: the annotation of a GenBank genome assembly